GCCCGAGUGGCUCAGUCGGUAGAACAUUAGGCUCUUAACCUAACGGUCCAGGAUUCGAGCCCCUGCUUGAGUG
This 73-nucleotide transfer RNA is filed under the name Dermacentor andersoni. Its description in RNAcentral is "transfer RNA lysine (anticodon CUU)". It matches the Rfam family "tRNA". From Rfam's summary of the family: Transfer RNA (tRNA) molecules are approximately 80 nucleotides in length. Their secondary structure includes four short double-helical elements and three loops (D, anti-codon, and T loops). The record is from RNAcentral. Lineage: Eukaryota; Metazoa; Arthropoda; Arachnida; Ixodida; Ixodidae.